Molecule: ribosomal RNA, 138 nt
Filed under: uncultured eukaryote
Lineage: Eukaryota
Description: partial 18S ribosomal RNA
Rfam family: Eukaryotic small subunit ribosomal RNA
Source: RNAcentral
UGGUGGAGCGAUUUGUCUGGUUAAUUCCGAUAACGAACGAGACUCUGGCCUAUUAAAUAGACAUUGGAUCAUUUAUGGUCCUUUGCAGCUUCUUAGAGGGACGGGCGGCUUAUAGCCGCACGAGAAUGAGCAAUAACA